RNAcentral lists this long non-coding RNA (446 nucleotides) under Mus caroli (Ryukyu mouse). RNAcentral describes it as "EST AA545190 (MGP_CAROLIEiJ_G0006284.1)". The record is from RNAcentral. Lineage: Eukaryota; Metazoa; Chordata; Mammalia; Rodentia; Muridae.
AGGUCUUUUCUAUUGCUGGUGUUAUACAGCUUCCAACACUGCUUCGGGAACUUCAGCGGAGCCUCCAUCUCACAGGCUGUCUAGUAGCACUGUGGCUCAUGCUUACUUGUACCCUGAAACUGAGGAUGAUAUCUAAAGCAAGGAAAAAAGCUUCAAAGAAAAAGAUUUGUUCUCCAUUGCCUGAGAUUAGGGAUCCAGGAGGAGGAGCAUCUGUGUCCCUAGCACUGAGUGCCAAAGCAGUGAAAACAUUCAAAGGAGAGAGUUUCAAAACCAUCCGAACCCAUGAUCAGGCCUGACGAUGGAGAGCUUUGUAAGAUGCAAGAAGAAGACAGUAGGGAGUGCUGGAAGUGACUGAGCAUGAACGAUACUUGUUCUAUACAGCAUGAUGCUCCCCACCCCUAAAAGCUUCAGAGAUCCCUAUCAAAAGGAAUUUCUGACUUUUAUAG